This is a long non-coding RNA of Prunus dulcis (almond), 189 nucleotides long. RefSeq lists it as uncharacterized. The transcript has 3 exons. The record is from RefSeq and is a predicted model, not a curated record. Lineage: Eukaryota; Viridiplantae; Streptophyta; Magnoliopsida; Rosales; Rosaceae.
UUCUCCUUCGUUUCUCCACCAAAUCGAUCGAGUAAGGCACCAGGAGCCCGACAUAAUUGAAAAAAGGACCUUCGAGGGGUCGAAGUAGCUCGGACCAUCUGCUGUAGACGUACGCGGGAUCCACCACCGGGCCACUCAUAACCUCCGCGCUUCAAGUCAGGUAGAGUUUAUAGAAAAUCCCUGAAACCU